This 2884-nucleotide ribosomal RNA is filed under the name Cyanosarcina cf. burmensis CCALA 770. RNAcentral's name for it is "bacterial LSU rRNA". It matches the Rfam family "Bacterial large subunit ribosomal RNA". The record is from RNAcentral. Lineage: Bacteria; Bacillati; Cyanobacteriota; Cyanophyceae; Chroococcales; Chroococcaceae.
UGGUCAAGCGAAAUACAGCUGACGGUGGAUACCUAGACACGCAGAGGCGAAGAAGGACGUGGCGACCGACGAAAAGCUUCGGGGAGCUGGCAGCAAGCACUGAGCCGAAGAUAUCCGAAUGGGGCAACCCCCUUGUACAGCCUGUUGAAUCCAUAGACAGGUAUGAGCCAACCCAGCCAACUGAAACAUCUUAGUAGCUGGAGGAAAAGAAAUCAAACGAGAUUCUCCCAGUAGUGGUGAGCGAAAGGAGAACAGCCUAAACCAGAGUACAAGUAUUCUGGGGUAGUGGGACAGCGAGAUGGAAGCACUAGACUAGACGAAACGAUUGACAAAUCGUACCAAAGAGGGUGAUAGUCCCGUAGUCGAAAGUUGAAGUGCUACUAGCUGAAUCCCGAGUAGCUAGGGACACGGGAAAUCCCUAGUGAAUCAGCCGAGACCACUCGGUAAGGCUAAAUACUACUGCGUGAGCGAUAGAGCAACAGUACCGCGAGGGAAAGGUGAAAAGAACCCCGAUAAGGGGAGUGAAAUAGAACAUGAAACCGUCAGUUGACAAGCAGUGGAAGGAUGAUUCAACGUCCGACCGCGUGCCUGUUGAAGAAUGAGCCGGCGAGUUAUAGUCACUGGUAUGGCGAAUAGCCACAGCGAAAGCGAGUCUGAAGUGGGCGAAUUAUCAGUGUAUAUAGACCCGAACCUGGGUGAUCUAACCAUGGCCAGGAUGAAGCUUGGGUAACACCAAGUGGAGGUCCGCACCGACCGAUGUUGAAAAAUCGGCGGAUGAGCUGUGGUUAGGGGUGAAAUGCCAAUCGAACCCAGAGCUAGCUGGUUCUCCCCGAAAUGUGUUGAGGCGCAGCGGUAAGUGAUAAUUGCUGGGGGUAAAGCACUGUUUCGGUGCGGGCGGCCUCAAGCUGUACCAAAUCGAGACAAACUCAGAAUACCAGCAACAAUCUUACUAGUGAGACGGUGGGGGAUAAGCUUCAUCGUCAAGAGGGAAACAGCCCAGACCGCCAGCUAAGGUCCCCAAAUCAAAGUUAAGUGGCAAAGGAGGUGGGAGUGCACAGACAACCAGGAGGUUUGCCUAGAAGCAGCCAUCCUUGAAAGAGUGCGUAAUAGCUCACUGGUCAAGCGCUCCUGCGCCGAAAAUGAACGGGACUAAACUUUGUACCGAAGCUGCGGACUUGUAGCGAUACAAGUGGUAGGGGAGCGUUCUGCGAUAGGGUGAAGCACUAGCGGCAAGCAGGUGUGGACGAAGCAGAAGUGAGAAUGUCGGCUUGAGUAGCGCAAAUAUUGGUGAGAAUCCAAUACCCCGAAACCCUAAGGGUUCCUCCACAAGGCUCGUCCGUGGAGGGUUAGUCAGGACCUAAGGCGAGGCCGAACGGCGUAGUCGAUGGACAACGGGCGAACAAUCCCGUACUGAAGAUUAGUUGUGCAGAGGGACGGAGAAGGCACGCACCAGCCAGAUGUUGGUUACUGGCGCAAUUAACCGAGGCAUCGAGAAGCGGCGAAAACGCUUCGAGCUGGGGUUAAGAGACCGAGGGUCUACGGACCCGAAGUGGUAGCGGUCAAGCUUCCAAGAAAAGCUCUAAACACGUUAACUAAUCGUCACCUGUACCCAAAACCGACACAGGUAGGGAGGUAGAGAAUACUAAGGGGCGCGAGAUAACUCUCUCUAAGGAACUCGGCAACAUGGCCCCGUAACUUCGGAAGAAGGGGUGCCUACGCAAGUAGGUCGCAGUGAAGAGAUCCAGGCGACUGUUUACCAAAAACACAGGUCUCCGCAAAGUCAAUAGACGAGGUAUGGGGGCUGACGCCUGCCCAGUGCCGGAAGGUUAAGGAAGUCGGUCAGGGCCUUGAGCCUAAAGCUGGCGACCGAAGCCCCGGUGAACGGCGGCCGUAACUAUAACGGUCCUAAGGUAGCGAAAUUCCUUGUCGGGUAAGUUCCGACCCGCACGAAAGGCGUAACGAUCUGGAUGGUGUCUCAGAGAGAGACUCGGCGAAAUAGGAAUGUCUGUGAAGAUACGGACUACCUGCACCUGGACAGAAAGACCCUAUGAAGCUUUACUGUAGCCUGGAAUGGUGUUCGGGCUUUGCUUGCGCAGAAUAGGUGGGAGGCAAUGAUUCACUCCUUGUGGGGAGUGAGGAGCCGCAAUGUGAGAUACCACUCUGGCGAGGCUAGAAUUCUAACCCGCGACCGUUAUCCGGUCGGGGAACAGUUUCAGGUGGGCAGUUUGACUGGGGCGGUCGCCUCCUAAAGUGUAACGGAGGCGCGCAAAGGUUCCCUCAGGCUGGUUGGAAAUCAGCCGCAGAGUGUAAAGGCAAAAGGGAGCUUGACUGCAAGAGUGACAACUCGCGCAGGGUGGAAACACGGCCUUAGUGAUCCGACGGUAGUGAGUGGAAGCGCCGUCGCUCAACGGAUAAAAGUUACUCUAGGGAUAACAGGCUGAUCUCCCCCAAGAGUCCACAUCGACGGGGAGGUUUGGCACCUCGAUGUCGGCUCAUCGCAACCUGGGGCGGAAGUACGUCCCAAGGGUUGGGCUGUUCGCCCAUUAAAGCGGUACGUGAGCUGGGUUCAGAACGUCGUGAGACAGUUCGGUCCAUAUCCGGUGCAGGCGUUAGAGUAUUGCGAGGAGCCUUCCUUAGUACGAGAGGACCGGGAAGGACGAACCGCUGGUGUACCAGUUAUCGUGCCAACGGUAAACGCUGGGUAGCCAAGUUCGGAGCGGAUAACCGCUGAAAGCAUCUAAGUGGGAAGCCCACCUCCAGAUGAGUACUCUCAUGAAUUAAAUUCAGUAAGGUCACCCACAGAACAUGGGUUGAUAGGUCAGUGGUGGAAGCGUGGUAACACGUGCAGCCGACUGAUACUAACAGACCGAGGGCUUGACCACAA